GCCAGACUCCUACGGGAGGCAGCAGUGGGGAAUAUUGCACAAUGGGGGAAACCCUGAUGCAGCGACGCCGCGUGAGUGAAGAAGUAUCUCGGUACGUAAAGCUCUAUCAGCAGGGAAGAAAAUGACGGUACCUGACUAAGAAGCCCCGGCUAACUACGUGCCAGCAGCCGCGGUAAUACGUAGGGGGCAAGCGUUAUCCGGAUUUACUGGGUGUAAAGGGAGCGUAGACGGCAGCACAAGUCUGGAGUGAAAUCCCGGGGCUUAACCCCGGAACUGCUUUGGAAACUGUGCGGCUGGAGUGCAGGAGGGGUAAGCGGAAUUCCUAGUGUAGCGGUGAAAUGCGUAGAUAUUAGGAGGAACACCGGUGGCGAAGGCGGCUUACUGGACUGUAACUGACGUUGAGGCUCGAAAGCGUGGGGAGCAAACAGGAUUAGAUACCCCGGUA
This 445-nucleotide ribosomal RNA is filed under the name uncultured bacterium. Its description in RNAcentral is "bacterial SSU rRNA". It matches the Rfam family "Bacterial small subunit ribosomal RNA", at positions 330 to 792 of the family's 1533-position model. The record is from RNAcentral.